CGCGUGAGGAACCUGCCUCAAAGAGGGGGACAACAGUUGGAAACGACUGCUAAUACCGCAUAAGCCCACGGCUCGGCAUCGAGCAGAGGGAAAAGGAGCAAUCCGCUUUGAGAUGGCCUCGCGUCCGAUUAGCUAGUUGGUGAGGUAACGGCCCACCAAGGCGACGAUCGGUAGCCGGACUGAGAGGUUGAACGGCCACAUUGGGACUGAGACACGGCCCAGACUCCUACGGGAGGCAGCAGUGGGGAAUAUUGCACAAUGGGGGAAACCCUGAUGCAGCGACGCCGCGUGGAGGAAGAAGGUCUUCGGAUUGUAAACUCCUGUUGUUGGGGAAGAUAAUGACGGUACCCAACAAGGAAGUGACGGCUAACUACGUGCCAGCAGCCGCGGUAAAACGUAGGUCACAAGCGUUGUCCGGAAUUACUGGGUGUAAAGGGAGCGCA
This 443-nucleotide ribosomal RNA is filed under the name uncultured bacterium. RNAcentral describes it as "bacterial SSU rRNA". It matches the Rfam family "Bacterial small subunit ribosomal RNA", at positions 114 to 573 of the family's 1533-position model. The record is from RNAcentral.